AUUGAACGCUGGCGGCAGGCUUAACACAUGCAAGUCGAGCGGGGUGAUGGUGCUUGCACUAUCACUUAGCGGCGGACGGGUGAGUAAUGCUUAGGAAUCUGCCUAUUAGUGGGGGACAACAUCUCGAAAGGGAUGCUAAUACCGCAUACGUCCUACGGGAGAAAGCAGGGGACCACUUGUGACCUUGCGCUAAUAGAUGAGCCUAAGUCGGAUUAGCUAGUUGGUGGGGUAAAGGCCUACCAAGGCGACGAUCUGUAGCGGGUCUGAGAGGAUGAUCCGCCACACUGGGACUGAGACACGGCCCAGACUCCUACGGGAGGCAGCAGUGGGGAAUAUUGGACAAUGGGGGGAACCCUGAUCCAGCCAUGCCGCGUGUGUGAAGAAGGCCUUAUGGUUGUAAAGCACUUUAAGCGAGGAGGAGGCUCUUUUGGUUAAUACCCAAGAUGAGUGGACGUUACUCGCAGAAUAAGCACCGGCUAACUCUGUGCCAGCAGCCGCGGUAA
RNAcentral lists this ribosomal RNA (503 nucleotides) under uncultured bacterium. RNAcentral's name for it is "partial 16S ribosomal RNA". It matches the Rfam family "Bacterial small subunit ribosomal RNA", at positions 30 to 523 of the family's 1533-position model. The record is from RNAcentral.